GCGUGCGUAGCUCAGUUGGAUAGAGCGUCUGCCUCCGGAGCAGAAGGUCGUGGGUUCGAGUCCCGCCGCGCGCA
This 74-nucleotide transfer RNA is filed under the name Gemmatimonadaceae bacterium. Its description in RNAcentral is "tRNA-Arg". It matches the Rfam family "tRNA". Rfam says of the family: Transfer RNA (tRNA) molecules are approximately 80 nucleotides in length. RNAcentral also lists the same sequence under 2 other names. The record is from RNAcentral. Lineage: Bacteria; Pseudomonadati; Gemmatimonadota; Gemmatimonadia; Gemmatimonadales; Gemmatimonadaceae.